Syngnathus acus (greater pipefish) is the source of this 541-nucleotide long non-coding RNA. RefSeq lists it as uncharacterized. The transcript has 2 exons. The record is from RefSeq and is a predicted model, not a curated record. Lineage: Eukaryota; Metazoa; Chordata; Actinopteri; Syngnathiformes; Syngnathidae.
AUAACAACAUUACCAUUUGUAUUUAACAGUGUUCAGACAGUGCAAAACACACACACGUCUGUACAAGGUAGAACGUUUGAUUUGCACGUGCAUCUCCCCUUCAUACAUUGUGUUUUUUUGCAGGACCAGUACACAAGUUCCAGGAUUCCGACUGGGGCUGGAGGAAGUGACAUCCAGUCAAUCUCAAAGAAAUGCUCAACCUUGGACGACACUACAGAUAUCUUCUAGGCCUAAUCUAAUCUAACCUAGCCUGAGGGGUUUAUCGUAAUCUUGCAAGAUCAAAGAUUGAGCUGGACACCCCUGCACUGUAGUUACACGUCACAAAAUCAACAUUCUGUUGAUUCCUGUCUAUUCCAGGCUAGAUCUGACCUUGACUCAUACAUGCUGUGUCCAUGUUACAUGAUUAAUACACGUCUCUCACACCCAUAUUGAUAGCUUUCUCCUGAAGAGACAAACCAGGGCAAAUUUCACGGCCAGUCCAGUAAAAUAAAAUACAGUAAUCAUGUGUCAUAUGUUUAAAAUAAAGUAAAUUUGGUACGAA